Molecule: non-coding RNA, 133 nt
Organism: Gossypium raimondii (Peruvian cotton)
Lineage: Eukaryota; Viridiplantae; Streptophyta; Magnoliopsida; Malvales; Malvaceae
Source: Rfam
UGUUAAAAAUUUCAUCCAUUUUUACUAUUAAAAACUAGCGUAGCUGAAGAAAUAACCAAAUAGUUACAUUUGUACAUUAUGUUGAUGUACAAGGACCAUCUUUUAACAGUAGAGAUGAAUGUAAUUUUUAAAA